GAGUUUGAUCCUGGCUCAGAUUGAACGCUGGCGGCAGGCCUAACACAUGCAAGUCGAGCGGAUGAGAGGAGCUUGCUCCUUGAUUCAGCGGCGGACGGGUGAGUAAUGCCUAGGAAUCUGCCUGAUAGUGGGGGACAACGUUUCGAAAGGAACGCUAAUACCGCAUACGUCCUACGGGAGAAAGCAGGGGACCUUCGGGCCUUGCGCUAUCAGAUGAGCCUAGGUCGGAUUAGCUAGUAGGUGAGGUAAAGGCUCACCUAGGCGACGAUCCGUAACUGGUCUGAGAGGAUGAUCAGUCACACUGGAACUGAGACACGGUCCAGACUCCUACGGGAGGCAGCAGUGGGGAAUAUUGGACAAUGGGCGAAAGCCUGAUCCAGCCAUGCCGCGUGUGUGAAGAAGGUCUUCGGAUUGUAAAGCACUUUAAGUUGGGAGGAAGGGCAGUAAGUUAAUACCUUGCUGUUUUGACGUUACCAACAGAAUAAGCACCGGCUAACUUCGU
RNAcentral lists this ribosomal RNA (502 nucleotides) under uncultured Gammaproteobacteria bacterium. RNAcentral's name for it is "bacterial SSU rRNA". It matches the Rfam family "Bacterial small subunit ribosomal RNA", at positions 9 to 506 of the family's 1533-position model. Lineage: Bacteria; Pseudomonadati; Pseudomonadota; Gammaproteobacteria. The record is from RNAcentral.